GGUCCUAGAGUCCGUCGAGUUCCAAUGAUUUUUGCUCUGACCCCGCGGUCCGCUUUGGCCUCUCAGUCUUUGAGAUUGGAAGCUGCCCCCAGAGGUCUUGGGUGUGCAGUCUGCUUCACGGGAGCCCCCUGAGACUUUAGCCCGUGUAACCUAUAAGCCAAGGACGUCUUGGACAGUUUUAAUCAUCAAUAACAAAGUAUAUCAUUAAGUAACAGUGGAUUAUUUUGAAAGAGUUGGAAGACUUGUCAUGAGUUUAAACACUUCAAGCAAUACCCCUGGUGAUAUCCAAAGGUAAGCCUCUAGUCUCUUCCUCUAGUUAAGGAAUGCUUUUGGUUGCUGGGAGCCGGGGCUGCUUGUAAGAAUUCUCGUGGGAUGGUAAGGGAAGUAGAAAUUUCAUGGAACUGGAGGAGCAGGAAUGGUGCCUCAUAGGAACCAGAACUGGAUCUGGAGACUUUGUCUCUUUGUACUCUUUUGUUAACUCAGUGUACAGAAGUCAGUGUCUGUACUUUCUCUGGUCCCUAGAGACUUGCUUACUCUUUUCCACUUUUCUAAAUCCUUUCUUUUGCUUAUUCACAUUUCUGUGUGGUCAUUUCUUGGCUUGUCAUAACUCUGUGGCUGUUUCCUCUUAUUAUCCUCAUUGCCCCAACUCUGAUUCAUAACUGUUGGUUUUAGAUCUUAUUGCUAACUGCUUCUUUACUUGGAAUUUACCUUCCUUUUUUCUUUUUUUUUUUUUUAGGGCUGAACCCAAGACAUAUGGAAGUUUCCAGGCUAAGGGUUGAAUUGGAGCUACAGUAGCUGGCGUAAGCCACAGCUAUAGCAACACCAGAUCUGAGCCUUACCUGCAAUCUAUGCUGCAGCUUGCAGCAACCCCACUGAGUGAGGUCAGGGAUUGGACCUGCAUCCUCACGGAGACAAUGUUUGGUCCUUAACCAUUGAGCCACAACUGGAACUCCAGAUUUUAUAUUCUAAGUAUUGUUGUUGCUCAUCUUUUUUAUACCAUUCAUAUCUGCCUUUGGGUAAGGUGCCUGCCUGUGGUUUAUCCACAUCUGAUGUGACUAAUAAAAAACUUUGAGUCCAGGAAUUCCCAUCGUGGCUCAGUGGAAACCAAUCUAACUGGUAUCCAUGUGGAUGCAAGUUUGAUCCCUGGCCUUGUUCAAGUGGGUUAAGGAUCCUGCGUUGCUGUGAGCUGUGGUGUACGUCACAGAUGUGGCUUGGAUCUGGUGUUGCUGUGGCUGUGGCUGUGGCCAGUGGCUACAACUCUGAUUCGACCCCUAGCCUGGCUUCAUAUGCUGUGGGCGUGGCCCUAAAAAGAGAAAAGAUAAAAAAACAAAACAAUUAGGGUUGUUUUUUGUUUUUUUUGUUUUGUUUUGUUUUUUUUUUUUUUGGCCAUACACAUGGUGUGUGGCUGUUCCCAGGCCAGGGAUUGAACCCGAGCCACAGUAGCGACUCAGGCUGCUGCAGUGACAACACCAGAUCGGUAACAAGAGAACUUGUGCCAAAAGAGAACUCUGGGUUGUAUCUUAUUUGUUUUUAAGUUUUCUUUUUUUGGUAUCUCUUUUAAAUAUAUUGUACAGAAGCAAUGGGGGUAUGUGUAUGUGGAGAUAGUCCUUGCUCUCAUUUAGCUUGAGAAGAAUUGAUCUUGAGCACCUGUUCAGCAAGGACAUAUGAGUGGGACAAGCACCAUUACUAACAUGUACUUCACCUUGUAAAUAGGAUUUGCUGUAUAAACAUUUUCCACCUGUCUUUUGGAAUGACCUUAAAUCCUUUCUGGAGCAAGAUAGAGAAUAAAUUAAUAGAACAUAAACAUUUUCUUUGCUAACAUUUUUUUUCUGAAAAAAGGAUUUUUUCUUUUAUCAAAUGUUGCAAGGGUUAAGAGUGAGGUCUUAUCAGCUGGUUUCCCAUUACUAUGGUCAGAAGAUGGUUCAAAAACUGCUAAAUAGUAGUUCCCUUGUGGUGCAGCAGGUUGGGGAUCUGGCUUUGUUGCUGCUGUUGUUUGGCUUGCUGCUGUAGUGUGGGUUUGGUCCCUGGCCCAGGAACUUCAGCAUGCCAUGGGCACAGCCAAAAAACAAAAACAAAAACAAAAAAACAAAACUGCUAAGUAGAAUAUCUUCAAGCUUCCUUCUUGUUCUGAUAUCUUAUUUUAUACGUGUGUGUGUGUGUAUAUAUGCAUAGAUAUGUAUGCUUUAAUGCAGAUAAUGCAUGUGUUUUUAGAAAAAUUAAAAAAAAUACAUAUGAAUAAAACAAUGAAACUGCUUAUAAUCCUACCAUCUAAGAGUUAACUAUUGGGAGUUACCGUAUGGUGCAGUGGGUUAAAGAUCUGGCAUUGUUACUGCAGCAGCCUCGGUUGCUGCUAUGGCAUGGGUCAGAUCCCUGGCUCAAGAACUUCCAUAUGCCCUAGGUGUGGCCAAAGAAAGCAAACAAAAAAAAAAGUUAACUACCAACAGUAUUUUGAUACUUGCUUGCCCAGACCUUUUCUUUUGAACAUAUAAAUGUGUUGUAUAAAUGUAUAUUUAAUAAAUUGGAAUAAUAUUUCACAUUAUUUAGUAUCUUGCUUUUUCACUUUGGCCCAGAUGAUAUUCAUGUAAUUUAUUUGGCCACAGUGUGCAGCAGCUUGAUGUGAAGAUUUCAGUUCCCAGACCAGGGAUUGAACCCAGGCCACAGUGGUGGAAUUGCUGAAACCUAACCACUAGACCACUGGAGAACUCUUAACAUCUGUCAUAAUUUUUAAUGGCUAAAUUACUCUUCAGAAUUCUAGAAUCUGGAUAAAUGAAGUUACUUAAACUCUGCUCUUUACCACUAAUCUACUUUCUGUUUCUAUAACUUUGCCUUUCUUGAACAAUUCAUAUAAAUGGAGUCCUGUAACAUGUGGUCAUUUGUGUCUUACUUUUUUCACUAGGCAUGUUCUUCAGAUUUGUCCCAUUGUAGCAUGUGCUAAUACUUUUUUUUUUUUUUUUUUUUAUUUUGGCCAAGCUCACGGUAUGUGGAAAUUACUGGGCCAGGGAUAAAAGCACAAUCACAGCAGUAACCCAAGCUCCUGCAGUGGAAAUGCUGGGUCCCUAACCCACUGUACCACAACAGAUCUCCAGUACUUUGUUUCUUUUUAUUGCUGAAUAUCAUUCCAUUUUAUGGAUUUUACUACAUCUUGGUUAUCCAUUCUCCAGUUGAUGGAUAUUUGGGUUGUUUCCACAUUUUGGCUAUAAUGAAUAAUGCUGCUAUGAACAUUUGUGUACAAGUCUUUCUGUGGACAUACAAUUUCAUUUUUCUUGGGUAGAUUCUUAGGAGCGCCAUUACUUUAUCAAAGUAAAUAUAUGUUAAAAAUUUCAAGAAACCACCAGAUUAUAUUCUAAAGUGGCUCUACCAUUUUACAUUUCCACCAGCAAUGUAUAAAAGUUUUAAGUUUCUCCACAUACUCACCAACACUUGUUCUUUUCUAACUUUUUGACUAUAUCCAUUCUAGUGUGUGUAAAGUGGUUUGCCAUUGCGGUUUUUUUUUAAAGGGCUGCACCUGUGGCAUAUGGAGGUCCCAGGCUAGGGGUCAAAUUAGAGCUGUAACUGCCAGCCUAUGCCACAGCCACAGCAACGCCAGAUCUGAGACACGUCUGGGAUCUACAUCAUAGCUCAGGGCAACACUGGAUCCUUAACCGACUGAGUGAGGCCAGGGAUCAAAACCUACGUCCUUGUGGAUGCUAGUCAGAUUCAUUUCUGCUUCACCUGCCUGUGCUUUUUUGGACUUUUGUAUAUCUCCAUUGGUGAAAAGCCUAUUCAGAUCUUUUGCCCAGUUCUAAAUUAGAUUAUUUGUCAUUUUGUUAUUGACCUUUAAGAAUUUUUUAUGUAUUCUGGAUACAAGUCUUUCAUCAGAUAUAUAAUUUGCAAAUGUUUUCUCCCCUUUGUUGGCUUGACUUCAUUUUCUUAAUGUCUUUCGAAGUUCAAAAGUUAUUAAUUUUUAUGGAGUUCAAUUCUUUUUCUUUAUGAAUUGUGCUUUUGGUUUCAUAUCUAAGAAAUCUUUACUUCACUUAACAUCGUGAAGGUUUUUCUCCUCUUUUAUUUUAGAAAUUUUAUAAUUUUAGUUCUUACAUUUAGGUCUGUGCUCCAUAUUAAGUUAUUUCUUAAUGUCUGUUGUGAGGCAAGACUAUAAAUUUACCUUUUUGUCUGUGGAUAUCAGUUGUUUUAGUACCUUUUGUUGAUGAGAUUAUCUUUUCCCCAAUGAGUUGCCUUGACACUUUCAUUGAAAAUUAAUUGACUGCAUUGGAGUUCCCGUCGUGGCGCAGUGGUUAACGAAUCCGACUAGGAACCAUGAGGUUGUGGGUUUGAUCCCUGCCCUUGCUCAGUGGGUUAACGAUCCAGCGUUGCUGUGAGCUGUGGUGUAGGUUGCAGACGCGGCUCGGAUCCCGCGUUGCUGUGGCUCUGGCUAGGCCGGUGGCUACAGCUCCGAUUCGACCCCUAGCCUGGGAACCUCCAUAUGCCACGGGAGCGGCCCAAGAAAUAGCAACAAUAAUAACAACAACAACAAAAAAGACAAAAGACCANAAAAAAAAAAA
Molecule: long non-coding RNA, 4538 nt
Filed under: Sus scrofa (pig)
Lineage: Eukaryota; Metazoa; Chordata; Mammalia; Artiodactyla; Suidae
Description: lncRNA (ENSSSCG00035061066.1)
Source: RNAcentral